This 468-nucleotide ribosomal RNA is filed under the name uncultured bacterium. RNAcentral describes it as "partial 16S ribosomal RNA". It matches the Rfam family "Bacterial small subunit ribosomal RNA", at positions 28 to 507 of the family's 1533-position model. The record is from RNAcentral.
GACGAACGCUGGCGGCGUGCUUAAUACAUGCAAGUCGAACGGACAGGCCCUGCUCUUGUGGGGUGCUCGAGUGGCGAACGGGUGAGUAAAACGUGAGUAACAUGCCCUUGUCUUAGGGAUAAAUUCAGGAAACUGGGGCUCAUAUCGGAUAGGAGCUCUUGCUGCAUGGUGGGGGUUGGAAAGUUUCGGCGGUUGGGGAUGGACUCGCGGCUUAUCCGCUUGUUGGUCGGGUAGUGGAUUACCAAGGCUUUGACGGGUAGCCGGCCUGAGAGGGUGGCCGGCCACAUUGGGACUAAGAUACGGCCCAGACGCCUACGGUAGGCAGCAGUGGAGAGUAUUGCACAAUGGGCGGAAGCCAGAUGCAGCAACGCCGCGUGCGGGAUGACGGCCUUCGGGUGAUAAACCGCUGUCGCCUGUGACGAAGCGUGAGUGACGGUAAUGGGUAAAGAAGCACCGGCUAACUACGUG